UACGAAGGGUGCAAGCGUUACUCGGAAUUACUGGGCGUAAAGCGCACGUAGGCGGCUUUGUAAGUUAGAGGUGAAAGCCCGGAGCUCAACUCCGGAAUUGCCUUUAAGACUGCAUCGCUAGAAUUGUGGAGAGGUGAGUGGAAUUCCGAGUGUAGAGGUGAAAUUCGUAGAUAUUCGGAGGAACACCAGUGGCGAAGGCGGCUCACUGGUCCAUUACUGACGCUGAGGUGCGAAAGCGUGGGGAGCAAACAGG
This 253-nucleotide ribosomal RNA is filed under the name uncultured bacterium. Its description in RNAcentral is "partial 16S ribosomal RNA". It matches the Rfam family "Bacterial small subunit ribosomal RNA", at positions 524 to 776 of the family's 1533-position model. The record is from RNAcentral.